UUCCAUCAGCUGUGAAUCUAAUUCCAUGUGAAGUUAUAAAUAUGAGUGAUUGAAAUUGCAAUUGCUCACCCAAACAUCCCCCAACUGCCAAUCCUCUCUAUUUUUCAGUCUUAGAAGCUAAGAAAGAUGGCAUCAGUGAAAGCUGAGAAACCUGUGGGCUCUCAGGUGUUGUUUGGGCAGCCCAAGAAAGAGCCCGUCAAGACGGGCGGCGAUGGUGGGGCCAAAGCUCCGGCCAAGAAGGCCGCCCCGAAGAAGGCCGAGCCGAAGCCGCGAGAAGCCAAGAAAAAGGGAAAAGGUGGCAAACCAGCUGCGAAGAACUAACAAGAAUAGAUGCGCGCAGCUCUUAUGUUAUACCCUUUCUCGUCUUUUUUUUCUUUUUUUCUUUUUUUGAAUUUUGUGUGGGUGUUUUGUCUUUUAUGAUUUUCAUGCAAUGUUGCUUGUUUAGUGGGGAAUUAAUGAAAAAUAAAAGUAUGCAUUAAGGAUGA
This is a long non-coding RNA of Magnolia sinica, 485 nucleotides long. RefSeq lists it as uncharacterized. The transcript is spliced from 2 exons. Lineage: Eukaryota; Viridiplantae; Streptophyta; Magnoliopsida; Magnoliales; Magnoliaceae. The record is from RefSeq and is a predicted model, not a curated record.